Molecule: small nucleolar RNA, 92 nt
Organism: Anser brachyrhynchus (Pink-footed goose)
Lineage: Eukaryota; Metazoa; Chordata; Aves; Anseriformes; Anatidae
Source: Ensembl
GCAGGAAGCCUGUGAUGUCUUUGCCGUGAUGUCUGAACCUGGCUGAAGGAACUUGUGAAGACGAACCUUUAGGCUCUGAGGCUUCCAGGGGA